GACGCUGUGGCCUAAUUGUUAGCGCGUUGGACUCCGGAUCGAGUGGUCCGGAUUCGAGCACUGGCAGGGGUCA
Non-coding RNA from Desmophyllum pertusum, 73 nucleotides. The record is from the annotation of a GenBank genome assembly. Lineage: Eukaryota; Metazoa; Cnidaria; Anthozoa; Scleractinia; Caryophylliidae.